Rattus norvegicus (Norway rat) is the source of this 790-nucleotide long non-coding RNA. RefSeq lists it as uncharacterized. Lineage: Eukaryota; Metazoa; Chordata; Mammalia; Rodentia; Muridae. The record is from RefSeq and is a predicted model, not a curated record.
AGGAUCCUCCUGGGCCAGCCAAUCUCAAUAGAGCAAGAUGCCAGCUGCUCCGGCGCCAGAAACAUCUCUGUGGCACCCGGUCCUCCUCAGUACUCUUCCUCUCUCCAAAGUCCCCUGUCCGGCUCUGGCAUUGCUCAAGUCAGGUUAGACCAAGGAAGUGACUUCCCCUCUGCUCCAGAUCCAAGGUCGGUUGCUUUUCCAGCUUACGGGGAGCCAUCCCGGCUCAAGUCUAGGUGGAAAGUGAAGGGUAGCCAGUUACCCUCAGCACCCCUGUCAUAGGAGGGUGACAUGGCUGCGGACUAAGACAGCGUCGAUGCACUGGGGGCUGCAGCAAAUUUUCAAAACAACGCAAAGCUGCAAGUUGCGGAAAUGACCCAAAAAUACAAAUCAUAAAAUGUCAGAAUGAAGCUCGGAGAUCCCAGUGCAAACUUUCCAACUAAAUAAAGCAAAAAUGAAGUCCACCUGGAGAAGAAUGUGCCCUGUUCAUCCGGCGUUGGCAAUACCAAACACGUCCUUGCCGACUUGGAAAUAAUCUCUUUCCUCCCAAGAAGAAGGAGUUGUGUUUCUCUGGUCAUUAAUCACACUUUUCCCAGUUCUAAAGCUUCAAACCUCUUGCUCAGCAUACUACACUGCUAAGUGUGACAGGAAAAAAUCAAAACAGAAGAAUGGAAAUACAUGAACUGGAAUUCACACCAGGAUCCUAUCACCUCAUCCUUCGUAAAACAUCAGAGGGAAAGGAGGGUGAGAUCCUGGGAGACCUGUGUGUUUAAAGAAAGGGCUGGAUAACUGA